This 505-nucleotide ribosomal RNA is filed under the name uncultured bacterium. RNAcentral's name for it is "bacterial SSU rRNA". It matches the Rfam family "Bacterial small subunit ribosomal RNA", at positions 29 to 507 of the family's 1533-position model. The record is from RNAcentral.
ACGAACGCUGGCGGCGUGCCCUAACACAUGCAAGUCGAGCGAGAAAGUCCCUUCGGGGGACGAGUAAAGCGGCGGACGGGUGAGUAAUACAUGGAUAAUCUUCCCUCGAGCCUGGGAUAACCCUGCGAAAGUGGGGCUAAUACCGGAUAAGACCACAUGACACAUGUCACGGGGUAGAAGGUGGCUUGUAUUUAUAUGAGCUAUCACUUGAGGAUGAGUCCAUGGCCUAUCAGCUAGUUGGUGAGGUAAGAGCUUACCAAGGCUAUGACGGGUAGCUGGUCUCGAGAGGACGACUAGCCACACUGGGACUGAGACACGGCCCAGACUCCUACGGGAGGCAGCAGUGGGGAAUAUUGGGCAAUGGGCGAAAGCCUGACCCAGCGACGCCGCGUGGGUGAUGAAGGCCUUCGGGUUGUAAAACCCUUUCGUGCGGAAAGAAUAGUCCUGUAGCGAAUAACUACGGGAUUUGACGGUACCGCAGGAAGAAGCACCGGCUAACUCCGUG